UUUCCAAUUGGAAGCCGAGGAAUGCAAUUAGUAUUUUCUACUGUCACAAAAUUAGUGCCUACUCUUCCCUCUAUAUCUGUGGGGUUGAGUCUGUCUACCUGGUGCUGGCUGCCACGCAAUGCUCAGCCUGGCUUCUGCUGCGCCGUCAGGGUCACUUCUUUCAAGUGGCUCCUUGCGUGGGCUCCCAGCUGGCCCAAGAGGCUGAAAGGAAGCCCCUUUCCAUACCAUGUCAUGUGCUGAGUUACUGAGUGUUUUAGAGGUUUCUAAAUCCCUGUUUAAAGUUUGCAUCCAAAAGAAAUAGAAGGUCUUGUAUUUUACUCUGAAAUAACUCCUGGAGAUAGGCCAGACUGAAGUAAAUGGAAAAAUAAAUCAUUUGGGGGGGGAAAAAAGCCACACAAGUAUUUACAAAAUCUAAUCUGUAAGUGGACUUUGAGUCUGAGCUGUUCUUAUGUGAAUUUAGCCAGGAAAGAAAACAUGUAAGUCUCAAGGGAGGUGACUAAUGUCAGCAUGAGUCUGUAGCUUAGGGCCUACAGAAAUUAUUCUCCAUGGUGCUUCUGCCUGAAAUGUAGUGAUUUAUAUAUAAAUGAUCUUAUGGCAAGCAAGAUAAGAUGUUAAGUACGGGAAAAGUGAAAGGGAAUGAAUUGUGGUAAUAAUGUGAGAUGGGAAAAAGAAGAUGCUGACUCAAAAAUUCAUUUUCUAGGAUAAUUUUUACUUCUUUAGUUACAGAAGAACUUAAAGCUUAGGCAGAUGGUCACUGAUAAUGGGUGUCAAAUUAUGGACAUGGAUGUUCUCAUAAUGUAAGGGCAGGCAACCCACUGCUGAAGCACCAGCAGUCCUCCCUGGUGUACGUUGCAACAAAUGCCCUCUAUUGUCUGUGUUCUGGUUCUGUGUAUUUACCCUAAGUGUAAGAGCUUCUGGGUGGACACGCUAUCAGAACAGCCCUUAGCCUUGCAGUUGUCUCAGCCAGUGCUGGGGAGGUGUCAACUCAACAGUAAAGUAGAAAGUAUUGGAGACUUAUUAUGGAAAACAUCACAUUUGCUCUGUAAUUUUCCUCCAUGAUAUCCCUUAGAAAAACCUCCAAAGUGAUUCUUCUAUUCCUACAGUCCUUUUUCAAACCAAGGGGAGUUUUAUCUGACUCAGGACUUAGGACUUGGGAUCCUUCCUGCCUAGGGUGAAUCCUGACCACUCUGAGGCCAAUGGUAGACAUGUUCUUGGUAGUCUGUCCUGACCAGGUAACGUUUCUCCUGGACCAUGGAAAAUGAGCUAGCUGCAUCCCUGAGUUGUGGAGCAAAAGGAGACUUGCUUUCAAAGGAGUGUUGUAGAGUCAGAAACAAGAUUAUACCCUGGAGAAAAUCAGUUCUCCUUUAGCCACUACUUCACAGCUAAAAUCUAUUAGAGAUAGGUAAAUAUAGCUAAAACAUCAAUGGCAAAGUAGCAUAUGUUUUAAUUUGUAGAUCAGACAUAAAUAUAAUAAUAAUAAUUACACAGCAGUUACAGUAAAAUUACUAUAGUUCCAUGUUACCUGCAACUACUAAGCAAUAUAGGCUGGUUACUACACGACAGUGUGAUUACAGCAUAGGCUCAACAGGGUUUUUGUAUGUGGGGUCUAAAAAUACACUAAGUGAUCAGAAAGUAACUCAGUGAUAGAGACAACCCCAACUUUUAGAAUCGGUGUGUUCAGGGAAGUAGAGCCAAAGUCUAACUAUAAUGUAACUGCAGUACAAUUCAAGAGCAAGUUGAAACCACUGCAUGAUGUAGCCUUAAAACAAGAUUUUGCAAUGUUAAAAAGUAAUGUAGUUAAACGAUGCAGAAAUCUUUAUGGUUACAUUUGCUUCAUGGCUAGAGUACAAAAUGCUAGUACAAGUAGCCAUUUCCAUGUGUCUGGAAAAAAUCCCCCAAAUCAGUAUCAGUUCUCUGAAUAGUCAAUGUAGGUCUGCAAAUUCAGGAUUGAAAACCUGCCUGACCGCAAAGUGUAUGUAAUUUGUGUUUGCAUUUUUUCCAUGUCAUGCCACGGUCUCAGAAAGGGAGAACAAAAGCCAUGCAGGAUAGUAGCAGACUUCCAGAUGAGUUCCAAGACCUGGGAAAAAUACCAAAAUAAUAAAGUGCAGGUUAUCCAGUCUUGCAGAGUCAAAGCUGUCUGAACAGGAUGCCUGGGAAUAAGUGUCCUCUUGGCUGUGCCCGUCCCUGAUGGCUGAUUCUGGCUGAUGUCACCUCAGCUCCUCAGCACCCAGGGGAAGAGCUGCUCGAGUACUUCAGCCUUUUGUACUUUGUGAUAGAUGAUCCUGCCAACCCUGUCUAACAGCAGGUCUGUGUUGUCAAUGGGAUUUCAAUUAAUUUGCUACUGAUGUAUGUAAAUAACUCCUCCUGUUUAGCCUUACCCUGGCUGGCCAGUGGUGCCUCUUGUCUCCUUCAGCAAUUGACUUUUGUUUCCACAUUUCCUUAUUUCUGCAUAUUGUUGUCAGUAUAAUUUUGUUUUUAAUAGUAUUCCUACCUCCAUUUCAUCAUUUAAUGAAGGGAGGCAUUUCUUCUCCAAGGAACUGAAAAGUCUUUGCACAGAUACGGAUGAUUAGGAGUUGCUGCUCUGCUUUCUGCAGAAUUUGCGCUCUCUCAACCUGAAAUUGAGGAAAUAUCCACCAGAGCACAGAUGUUGGCUUUUCUAAGGUGGUGUCUUUUGGGUUCAUCAGCUGUGCAGUCAGCUCUGUCCCUGUGGCUCCAGCACUGAAUUUCCUCAAGGCUUCUCAGCAGGUUGGACAGACUGAACAUGCUUUGAGAAAGUGAUGUCUUUGAAGAAGCAAGCAUACGUACUGCUGGUGAAGACCGUACCUGCUAGUCUAUAGCAAAUCCAUCAGGGACCACUAAGAAGAUACCAAAAUUAUGCAUAGACACUGAGAGCUGUCAUGCAUCAAAGAACUUCAUAUACAUCAGUGAAGUCUCCUGACACCACGCUGGGCAGAUGAGCAUCACAUAGCAGAUGGGUAAAAUGAGACUUAAAGAAGCUGAACAGAAGUGGCCCCCCUGGAAAUACAGCUCAGCAGCCUCCUGCUCAGAUAAGCAUCCUCAGCCUCUUUCCCCAUCCUCCCCUUUGCAGCCGCAACAUGUUUGCAGCAGUCACCGCAGGAACAUUAUCCUGGGGGACAGGAGCGGGACUGGAGCAUCAGACAUGGGAUCUUUCGUCGUUGCCCCCAUGCCAUGCCGGGGAGUGUGAUGUCAAGCCUCCCACCCUGUGCCCAGUUGUGGAAACUGAAGCCCAUAUGACCUUCACUGGAAACAAAAGUUGCCAGAAUUAUCAUCCUGCAAGAAACACUGAGAACUCCAUUGAACUAUGUGUCACACUGUGAACAUAUCACUUCCUCAUGCCUUAGCUGUUAGGAUAUCUUUAGUGUUACUGAAUGCAACCAGCUAUAAACAUUUAGGGACAAAGUCUAAGAUAACUUCUUCGGACAACUCUGCACCUGGCAGUCACCCAGAUGGUGAAGGCAGUAACUGGUAGAGGGUAUGUUUCACCACCAAAUUAGCUCAGGAUGCUGCAGGAUUUUUAACGGAGGCCAACUCUUCGGUCUCACAGCAACCCUUUGAAAAAUGACAGUAAGAAGCAAUUCUCGCUCAUAGAGAAACCCUCUAGUGCACUUGAAAUCGAAAUUUCAAAAUGGCCAUGAGCAAAAGUCAUCUAUCUGAAAGGUGCUGUUUUGCUUAAUGUGCACUAGAAAUAUAGUGAAGCCAAUUUCAUUGGCAGUAAGGUAUGUUUUUUCCUCUGACUUUAACACCAAACUUCUCAAUCUGACAAAUAAUUUCAGUCCUUUGACUCAGUGUUAGAGAAAAUAUUUAGUUCUGUGCAUAAAAUGGAUGGAGGGCCAAAAUCUUUCUCUCAUAACCUGCAGAAAUUGCUGGAGUUACUCCAGGGAUGCAUUUAGUCCCUUCUGUUCAAAAUUUAAGACCCGCUGUUUUUGUGACAGCACAGGUAAUUGCUACAGCUGGAGCAAGGCUGUAUCUCGUCGUCUCUGGCCUCAGCCCCACCUGCCGUUCUCUUUUCCUGCAGCAGAAACACAGUGAAUUCCUCAGAGGACACUGAGGGAUGGAUCCAGUGCUAAAUCCUCACCUGAUGGGAGCUGGUGGAGGAGGCCUCUGCAACCUACAGCACGUCCUGCACUGGUUUCUCUGCAGGAAAGGAAAGGCAAAACCUGACCCUUGGGGGUGGCUUUAGGAAAUCCUGUAGAUUUUGAGGUAUGCACAGAGACUCCUUCCUUCCCCCCCACUAGGCGCAAGAAGCAAGGACAAACCCUCCAGUGGUGGGGUCAGAUUGAGGGCUUUCUCCUGCACUUCUCCAGCUCUUACACCCCAGCCCAGCUCCUGUUUACCCCUUUGAGGUUACUGAUUUGGCCACAGGAUGAAAAGCAACCAAAGGCAAAGUGUCAUCUUCCAAAUAUGCCAAGGUGAAAGCUUCUGCCCUGGGAGCUUUGGAAGAAAGAUACAGAAAAGGGGCACUAAGGAGAUUAUAUUAGCUCUGUUUUACAACUGGAGAUCAGAAGCUAAGAGCUGAUAUCCCCACAACAGUGAUUUAUGCAAGACCAUGAGUUCACCCAGCCCCAUGGUGGGGUACGAGGCAGACCCCUCCGCUGAGUCCUGCAGUGGCAUCUCCAUCACACAGCCACACCUGCAUAGCUCUGAAACCUUCCUGAGUGGGAGAAGAAUGAUAAUUUGUGCGUGGUGACGAGAUGUUUCUCAGCUUUCAGGCUUCCUAGCCACAAUCAUUCCUUGAGAAACAAACGGCUGUGAAAAGGGCAGGAUCAAGAGGUGAAUUGUCAGACACUGUGCUAAGAACAAAUGGGCCGGUUUUCUGUUACGCCAGUCUGUUGCUGCACGGAUACACAUGCUCACUCAUAAAACCAAAUGCCAGCAGAUAUAUAUUUCCUUCCAAACAGGAUCAUCUAUGAAUAUAUAUAACUCUAUCUUGAAUUAGAAAAAUCCAUCAGUUUUUCCUCUCCCUGUAGGUAUGCACAUAGACGCGCAUGAGUUUGCAUAGACAUCCAGCUACGGUGCAGUACACUACAAACAAAAUGUGUAAGUGAAAUUAUUAUAUCUAAAAUAGCACAAACUCAAGAGAUACAUAUCAGCAGCCCCUCAAAUUCUAACACCUCCCCGGCUGCAUAUCUCCAUCCCAUAAAUUUUCAGACUUACUGUUACAAAUAAUUUCAAUUUGCAAUUGUUCCCUUACGCUGAUUUUAGCCAGAUCAGACUUACAUCCUCUUAUUAGACACAUCUUUCAUGCAGAGUGUAAAACAGUAAUCCGCUUGUAAUGCUUACUGGCAUUGGCUCUCAUCAAAGAGACAGGUGGAGAAUUGCAGUUAAUGGCAAUAACAGAGAAAGCCCGCUGUUUGGGUGGCAGCGCUUCGGAGGGUUUUCUACCUGCCUGCCAUGGGACUGAAAUCCAUGAAUUUGAAAGCUGCUUGUGUCUUUACAGUCAUUAUGAAGGUAUCUCUCAGUCAGUACCAAUCAAUGACAACUGAAACUUUUUAUGAAGAAAAAUUCCAGUACCAUCUGGAAUUCCUGGAGAAAGAAAAACCUAUGGACUUGUCUUCCGCAGCGUGGCAACCCCCAUCAUUAUAACCAACACAAAAGCAGGCUGAUGUAUUACCAUUUUUGCUUCCACCCAUUAUGCUCUUCGCUCACUAAUAUGUGUUGCAGUAUGUGGAUAUUGAUGUCUGAAGGGCAGGAUUUUUCCAGUUGUUUCACCUCUUAAUGGUUACCGGAGCAGCAGUGGUCCCUGACUGCACACUGGGAAGCACCAUUGUUCAGCCUGCUCUGCCCCAGCUUGUUUCCCCCAAGAAGUUGUGACUGUGCAAAUAACAGCACUCAUUUUGACCACACAAAAGAUGAAGUCUGACCUUGCAUUAUACAAUUUCCUUAAGUAAAAAUAUAAUAAUUGAGUGAACAGUGAGUUAUUAGGCUGACUAAAAUUCUUCAGGCGGUGAAACACCAUUUUUAUAUGACAUGCAAGAGGACAGAUUUCCUGACAACACCAUGUUUCAAUCUUUCUGACAGAAAGCCCAAGCUAGAAAAUUUUCCAGUGUCUAUUCCCAGUCAAGUGUGGAUAUUUUUCCUGAGAUAAAAUGCAAAGCGUUCAGUUAAAAAUUGGUAUUCAGCCUGUGAAAACAUGUUAUAGAUCAAUUAUUUCAGCCUUCUAAUACUACCUGAUAUUUGCAAGCACAAGUUUUAAAACCUAUACGAAGACCUUGCAAGUAGUAUUGCACGUGUCCUUCUUGCUGGAGCACUCUGGAAUGGCCAUGCAGAAACACAGCCCCACUUUUGUCUAGAUGAAUCUGGAAAUGAAGACCCAAAAUAUGCUGUUCGGCUGAAGGAAUAUGAGGAGAGCAGAGGUACAAACACUCGAGAUUACAUCAAAUGUAGAAUGUUUGCCCUAUUCAAAUGAAAAUGCCCCUCUUUUCCAAGCUCCGGGUGUCCUGGAUGAAUAAGAAGCAGCCUUUUUUUCUGCUCUGAGCAUUCUUAAUGGCCAUUUUAAUGACUGUCUCCUCAAGUUUACAGCCAGCUGUCAAAUUACUGAAUGCCAAUAUUUAUGAAACCCCAGCAUACACAGUGAUAAUGACACAAUUCAGUAUUUAUGGGGAGCACAUUUUUUGUAAAUACCAACACUGAGUAAUCACAGUAACUACUCUCUUGGUAACUCUACUAAUUUCAGAGGACAAUGAGCAAGAAUACCUUGAAACUUAAAAAUCAGAGACUACUCACCCCUUACCCUUUUGGUGACUUCAGGCCCAGCGUGUAGUAGCAGUAAGAAAGAACUACAAUUUCUUAUUCUUGAAAAAUCAUUGCUGAACUAAUGAGGUGAGGGAUAUUUUUAGGGUGCUGUGAUUGUUUUGCAGGUGGUGGGGAGCCUGACAAGGUACGCAGCAGGGAGGGAAUACUCCAUCUGUCACACAAUAGCUCAGUGAUUGGAACAGUGUUUGGAGAGGGAGGAGAAGAGGUGAGCAAAGUAUCAGACUCCCUUUGCCUCUCAAAAUUCUCUUAUUCUCGUUAGCAAACUCCAAAGUCUCUGCCUAGAAAAUUGCUCAGAAGCAGAGGCAGUCCCUGAUUUUAGAGCCUGUGAGAUGAAACAGUUCUUGAGAGCAAAGUCGUUCUCCAGGACUUAGAUGACUCAAAUGCACCUAUGCUGUGGUUUCCCUGGAGUUUAGCCAGUGGGCACUGGAUCCAAAAGCCUGUGAAGAUGGGGCAGGACAGACAUCAUGGAGGGAGGAACCACACUGGCAAACUUUGUUUCCAUGUAGUAAGGGAAAGACUGCAAAUUUGAACGUUAAGGAAGCUGUUCCUGCCUACUGCUGACUUCUGUACUUCCAUGUUCAGGUCACAAUUAUAUUUACCACAUAAUUGCAACCAGAGGAGAACUUCGGGUUUAUAUCUUAUUCAAUAGAAAAUUCUCUACUAUUGUGAUAUUUUCUAAUGCUAGAAAUGAUGACAGAAAUUAUGUCAGUAGCUCACACCAUUUCCUGCAGAGCCUGUUUCCUUAAGACGUGCUACAGAGCAAUAUUCAUCCAAAGUAACAGAAGGUGUAAAUUAAGUUGAAUAAAAUGGAAUCAAAUUGAGGAAAUGUUCAUUCUGCCUGGGAAUGACCACACAAAUAUUUAAUGCAGUUUAAAUAAUGUAUCCUAAAUGUUUUUCUUUAGGUAAUUUCGUUACUGUUCCUGACCAGCCUAUGUAAUAAUCAGAUGUUCUUUGCUGGAGUAUUAACCAGGCUUGCAUUUAGGAGUCUGCUCUGAAGAUCUGAAAAAAGAUUCCACUGAAUCCACUGGGUUUUGCGUCAGAUACCCAGCUUGCAGGGCCAGCUGAAACAAGUCUGAGGAGCAGAGGAGUGGCCUGCCCUGCUGUAACAUCACCACAUAACAUAACACAGAACAUCCACAUUAUGUCAGUGUGAAGGCUCAUCUGGUACUGCUUUAUCUCUCCCAUGCACACCAUUAGGGGACAGGAAUAUAAGAACAAAAGAGUAUGUGUUUGCUCCUGUGUGUGUGGAGCAGGGGAAGUACCGAAGUAAAGGGAGAGGAACCAUCUCUGUAUACCUCUAAAGCAAUAGGAGAAUCCCUGAACUACAGGCUUUAUAACCAGAUGGUCAUGUUUAGUAGCCACCAAUGGACGGCUCUUUCAUGAAUUUAUUUUCCCCCUCCUUAAUAUUUUUAUACUAAUUAAACUCCAUGUGAAAAGGCCUUUUGUUUAAAUCCAUUAUGCUUCAGCUGCAGGUAUCUGUUUUGUUCCAUGUUCUCUCCUAGUUUUCUGUCCCCAGCAGCAGUGGCUUCAGUAUCUGAAGUAAUAAACAAAUAGUAGCAGAAAUGAAGCUUUUUAUUAUCAUCAUUUACUGGGGCAGGCAGGGGGGAAGAUGAUGAGACAUCAGUGAUUAGUUGCCUAAAAAAAAGAAAUAAAAAUUAACAAAUUUUCAAGUAGAAGGAUAAGUAAUGGGCCACAUGGAGUCAGAGGCCCUGUGUUUCUAUCCAGUCUUUGAUCAACUCACUCAAACUCUCUCAGUUUGUUUCCCAAUGCGUGAAACAGAAACAGAAAUGUGUAGCAUAAGUGAAAACAUGGACUACUAUAAUUAAAAUCUGUACCAUAUUUUGAAGGUUUUGAUUACAGUAUAAAAGCCAAAUACAAGGGGUUUCUUCGUCCUUACUGUGACUGGUUUGCUUACAUUGGCACUGUCCUUACUUAAAUGGGUUAAUUUACUACACAUAUGUACAUAUAUAUACAUAAAAAUUGUUACAUUCUUAUUGAGUGUACUCACAAGGAACUGUAAAAUAGCAGUUACCAACUUCUCCAGAUCCUGCCCUUCUCUUCUGAUUAUCACUGGCAUAACUUCUGAUGCUUGAUCUUCCCAUGGCGCAAGUUUGUUCUUUUGCUAGAUUUCUCUUUUGUGCAUUGAGACGAAGAACUCAUGUCACUUGGAGCAAGCUGAUUUUCUUGUGUGAGGGUAUGGGAAUAGAAAAUAAAAUCUCGCUUCUGUUGAACAAAAUGUACCUAUACUUAUGGCACAUAUCUGAAAGCUUCAUCAGCAGUGAUCCGUGAAACUAGAUCUCUGACAUGAAAGUGUGAAGUAGACCCUGAAACAGAACAAAAGGAAAGGGUCAUGUUUACAAAGUCAUACUAAACAUUUGCAAUUGAUUCCAAUAGUGUUUGCGGAACAACAGUGAACGCAGAUUUUACUUUGCUGUGAAAGGCUGCUCUUGGCCACCUGAUAGGAAGAAUGAAUCAACAGUUAAACAAAAUGCCCCAUUAAGCACCUAUUAUCAUGAA
Non-coding RNA from Phalacrocorax carbo (great cormorant), 9291 nucleotides. Lineage: Eukaryota; Metazoa; Chordata; Aves; Suliformes; Phalacrocoracidae. The record is from RefSeq and is a predicted model, not a curated record.